This 120-nucleotide ribosomal RNA is filed under the name uncultured bacterium. RNAcentral's name for it is "partial 16S ribosomal RNA". It matches the Rfam family "Bacterial small subunit ribosomal RNA", at positions 796 to 916 of the family's 1533-position model. The record is from RNAcentral.
CACGCUGUAAACGAUGAGCACUAGGUGUCGGGGUCGCAAGAUCUCGGUGCCGGAGUUAACGCAUUAAGUGCUCCGCCUGGGGAGUACGCACGCAAGUGUGAAACUCAAAGGAAUUGACGG